GGGCGUGUAGCUCAGCUGGCAGAGCAGUUGACUCUUAAUCAAUUGGUCGAGGGUUCGAUUCCUUCCACGCCCACCA
RNAcentral lists this transfer RNA (76 nucleotides) under Deltaproteobacteria bacterium. RNAcentral's name for it is "tRNA-Lys". It matches the Rfam family "tRNA". Rfam says of the family: Transfer RNA (tRNA) molecules are approximately 80 nucleotides in length. Their secondary structure includes four short double-helical elements and three loops (D, anti-codon, and T loops). Further hydrogen bonds mediate the characteristic L-shaped molecular structure. tRNAs have two regions of fundamental functional importance: the anti-codon, which is responsible for specific mRNA codon recognition, and the 3' end, to which the tRNAs corresponding amino acid is attached (by aminoacyl-tRNA synthetases). tRNAs cope with the degeneracy of the genetic code in two manners: having more than one tRNA (with a specific anti-codon) for a particular amino acid; and 'wobble' base-pairing, i.e. permitting non-standard base-pairing at the 3rd anti-codon position. Lineage: Bacteria; Pseudomonadati; Myxococcota; Myxococcia. RNAcentral also lists the same sequence under 1 other name. The record is from RNAcentral.